Molecule: ribosomal RNA, 486 nt
Filed under: uncultured bacterium
Lineage: Bacteria
Description: partial 16S ribosomal RNA
Rfam family: Bacterial small subunit ribosomal RNA
Source: RNAcentral
AUUGAACGCUGGCGGCAUGCCUUACACAUGCAAGUCGAACGGCAGCACGGGUGCUUGCACCUGGUGGCGAGUGGCGAACGGGUGAGUAAUACAUCGGAACAUGUCCCGUAGUGGGGGAUAGCCCGGCGAAAGCCGGAUUAAUACCGCAUACGAUCCACGGAUGAAAGCGGGAGACCUUCGGGCCUCGCGCUAUAGGGUUGGCCGAUGGCUGAUUAGCUAGUUGGUGGGGUAAAGGCCUACCAAGGCGACGAUCAGUAGCUGGUCUGAGAGGACGACCAGCCACACUGGGACUGAGACACGGCCCAGACUCCUACGGGAGGCAGCAGUGGGGAAUUUUGGACAAUGGGCGAAAGCCUGAUCCAGCAAUGCCGCGUGUGUGAAGAAGGCCUUCGGGUUGUAAAGCACUUUUGUCCGGAAAGAAAUCCUUGGCUCUAAUACAGUCGGGGGAUGACGGUACCGGAAGAAUAAGCACCGGCUAACUACGUG